Transfer RNA from Camelus ferus (Wild Bactrian camel), 73 nucleotides. It matches the Rfam family "tRNA". Rfam says of the family: Transfer RNA (tRNA) molecules are approximately 80 nucleotides in length. Their secondary structure includes four short double-helical elements and three loops (D, anti-codon, and T loops). Further hydrogen bonds mediate the characteristic L-shaped molecular structure. tRNAs have two regions of fundamental functional importance: the anti-codon, which is responsible for specific mRNA codon recognition, and the 3' end, to which the tRNAs corresponding amino acid is attached (by aminoacyl-tRNA synthetases). tRNAs cope with the degeneracy of the genetic code in two manners: having more than one tRNA (with a specific anti-codon) for a particular amino acid; and 'wobble' base-pairing, i.e. permitting non-standard base-pairing at the 3rd anti-codon position. Lineage: Eukaryota; Metazoa; Chordata; Mammalia; Artiodactyla; Camelidae. The record is from Rfam.
AGGGGUAUAGCUCAAGUGGUAGAGUGCAUGCUUAGCAUGCACGAGGUCCUGAGUUCAAUCCCCAGUACCUCCA